GUUACGGUUAACAUCGUGUUUAACCGUGGUAUUAUCUAAUUAACACGUCCGUCGUAUUGUUCAUGUAAGUAAUCAUACCAAACGGUCACCAGAUUUCGCCAGAAAUUAUAAAUACAAAACUUGUCAUGUUUGGAACAAUAUUAUGGUGUGCUAUUAUUAUUACGUGAUCCAGAAUAAUUUAAUUCCUUAAUUGAAUAAUUAAAUUGUUCUAUCCAAUGCCAAAUCCCUCGCAAGUUUUAUUUUUUUUACAUACCUAAUUUUAUAUUCUUAAUUGUAUCUUUCUAUAUUAAUGCAACAGCAAAAGCAAAAAAGAUUUGAUACCGGGGAAGUUGGGAUAUAGAAGGA
Molecule: non-coding RNA, 345 nt
Organism: Cinara cedri
Lineage: Eukaryota; Metazoa; Arthropoda; Insecta; Hemiptera; Aphididae
Source: the annotation of a GenBank genome assembly